AGGCUAUUAGCUCAGUUGGUAGAGCACACCCCUGAUAAGGGUGAAGUCCUUGGUUCAAAUCCAUGAUAGCCUA
Molecule: transfer RNA, 73 nt
Filed under: Apophlaea sinclairii
Lineage: Eukaryota; Rhodophyta; Florideophyceae; Hildenbrandiales; Hildenbrandiaceae
Description: tRNA-Ile
Rfam family: tRNA
About the family: Transfer RNA (tRNA) molecules are approximately 80 nucleotides in length. Their secondary structure includes four short double-helical elements and three loops (D, anti-codon, and T loops). Further hydrogen bonds mediate the characteristic L-shaped molecular structure. tRNAs have two regions of fundamental functional importance: the anti-codon, which is responsible for specific mRNA codon recognition, and the 3' end, to which the tRNAs corresponding amino acid is attached (by aminoacyl-tRNA synthetases). tRNAs cope with the degeneracy of the genetic code in two manners: having more than one tRNA (with a specific anti-codon) for a particular amino acid; and 'wobble' base-pairing, i.e. permitting non-standard base-pairing at the 3rd anti-codon position.
Source: RNAcentral